AGUGUGGUGGCCGAGCGGUUAAGGCGUUGGAUUUAAGUUCCAUUGGACAUUAGUCCUCGUGGGUUCAAAUCCCACCCGCACUA
This 83-nucleotide transfer RNA is filed under the name Saccoglossus kowalevskii. RNAcentral's name for it is "tRNA-Leu". It matches the Rfam family "tRNA". From Rfam's summary of the family: Transfer RNA (tRNA) molecules are approximately 80 nucleotides in length. Their secondary structure includes four short double-helical elements and three loops (D, anti-codon, and T loops). Further hydrogen bonds mediate the characteristic L-shaped molecular structure. tRNAs have two regions of fundamental functional importance: the anti-codon, which is responsible for specific mRNA codon recognition, and the 3' end, to which the tRNAs corresponding amino acid is attached (by aminoacyl-tRNA synthetases). tRNAs cope with the degeneracy of the genetic code in two manners: having more than one tRNA (with a specific anti-codon) for a particular amino acid; and 'wobble' base-pairing, i.e. permitting non-standard base-pairing at the 3rd anti-codon position. Lineage: Eukaryota; Metazoa; Hemichordata; Enteropneusta; Harrimaniidae. The record is from RNAcentral.